This 489-nucleotide ribosomal RNA is filed under the name uncultured bacterium. Its description in RNAcentral is "bacterial SSU rRNA". It matches the Rfam family "Bacterial small subunit ribosomal RNA", at positions 29 to 532 of the family's 1533-position model. The record is from RNAcentral.
AAUGAACGUUGGCGGCGUGGAUUAGGCAUGCAAGUCGAGCGCUCAUCAGCAAUGGUGGGAGCGGCGAACGGCGUAGUAAUGCAUCGGAACGUACCCUCUGGUCGGGGAUAGCUACGGGAAACUGUAGGUAAUACCCGAUGAACUCUGCGGAGCAAAGGUGAGAUUCCGCCGGAGGAGCGGCUGAUGUGAUAUUAGCUAGUUGGUGGGGUAAUGGCCUACCAAGGCGAUGAUGUCUAGGGGGUGUGAGAGCAUGGCCCCCCACGACCGGAACUGAGAUACUGUCCGGACACCUACGGGUGGCUGCAGUCGAGAAUCUUCCGCAAUGGACGAAAGUCUGACGGAGCGACGCCGCGUGCGGGAUGAAGGCCCUUGGGUUGUAAACCGCUGUCAGAGGGGAUGAAAUCUCCGGAGGUACUCCUCCGGAGUUGACAGAGCCUCAAAGGAAGCACGGGCUAAGUACGUGCCAGCAGCCGGGUAAAGUCGAUAUCG